ACCCAGACCCUCUUCCUAUGUUAACACACUGGUCUUCCGUAGGCCCCAUACCUUUCCAUAAAAUUGGGUUACUUCUAUUAUAUAAUUUUCUCUACUUAUAUUUCUGUUUCUCGUCUUUCUGUUAUCUGUUAAGCAUACUGUCAAGAGCGUGGAAUUUUACAUAACAAGAGCCUUUGUUCCAACAGCUGGUUUUGCAUCUCUGCUUCUCUGCAUCAUCACGUUCUUUAGGAAGAAAAAAGAAAAGGUUCCAGCCAUGGACUAUCUUGCCCUGCUGCUGACUUUGAAGAAGAUUCUUUUUCUGCUACUGUAAAGGAUUUCCUUUCUGAGAAGGGGAUUUUCGUCAUUAAUGUGGUCUUAAGAUAUCCAUCCAUAAAGAAAGUGGUUGUAUCAAGGAUGAGAACGGUGUACCAAUACUGCACAUUGCUGCACUAGCUUCUCGUCGCUCCCUGGGGUUUGCACUUAGAUAAAUGAGAAGGUUCAAGCUUGGGGGGAAGCCAUCAAGCAAACACCUUUCAGUUUUAGUGUUCAAGCAAGCUCAAGUACACCUCACAUGUUAUAUGGCAGAAAACCUCACCGAGCCAGCUACUAAUUUCGGGUAUUCAAUAAUCCAAGGGAGCGGCCUUUCACCUUUGAGGAGAUAGAUGAAGUUCGAGAAAUGUUGGCAAACUUCAUUACCAGUGAUUGUCUUUGAUAUUUUCUUGUACUGAAUCUUAAAUUAUGGAUGCUAGUUUUUCAUAUGAUUGUAAUGCAAUCGACUUUUAUAUUUACAAUUAUAUACUAUUUAAUUUUAUUAUCUAUAUAAUAGGAUACUUUUUAUGUGACGUAUGGAGGUUAAUCAGUGGCGUGGUCCAAUUGUAAUAUGUAGCAGGAAAAUCGGUUAUAUAACAAAUCUAGAUCAAGUGCGGCUCAUUUAUGAAGGAAAUAAUGCCCUUGGUCCAA
Molecule: long non-coding RNA, 939 nt
Organism: Spinacia oleracea (spinach)
Lineage: Eukaryota; Viridiplantae; Streptophyta; Magnoliopsida; Caryophyllales; Amaranthaceae
Exons: 5
Source: RefSeq, a predicted model, not a curated record